This 63-nucleotide transfer RNA is filed under the name Nymphon australe. RNAcentral's name for it is "tRNA-His". Lineage: Eukaryota; Metazoa; Arthropoda; Pycnogonida; Pantopoda; Nymphonidae. The record is from RNAcentral.
AUAGAAAUAGUUUAAUUUAAAAUAUUGAUUUGUGGAAUCAAAGAUUUAUUGAUAAUUUUUAUU